UACGGUCAAAUCACGCUGAAAACACCGGUUCUCGUUCGAUCACCGAAGUUAAGCAUCGUAGAGCCAGGUCAGUACUUAGAUGGGGACCGCUUGGGAACACCUGGUACUGUAAG
This 113-nucleotide ribosomal RNA is filed under the name Acanthosepion pharaonis. Lineage: Eukaryota; Metazoa; Mollusca; Cephalopoda; Sepiida; Sepiidae. The record is from RNAcentral.